GCCAAUGUAGCUCAGUUGGUAGAGCAGCUCACUCGUAAUGAGCAGGUCAGCGGUUCAAGUCCGCUCAUUGGCUCCA
Molecule: transfer RNA, 76 nt
Filed under: Bacteroidota bacterium
Lineage: Bacteria; Pseudomonadati; Bacteroidota
Also listed under: 1 other name
Description: Bacteroidetes bacterium (activated sludge metagenome) tRNA-Thr
Rfam family: tRNA
About the family: Transfer RNA (tRNA) molecules are approximately 80 nucleotides in length.
Source: RNAcentral